GGAUUUAUGGACGGGCGGGGUACCGCUUUAGGGGGCCCAAGUCCACCGCAGGGGUGUAGAAGUACCCUGGGUUUGAGUCACGUACAGCGUCGGCAUCACUCCUUCGGUUGGCAGCACCUUUGGUGUGAAAUUUUCGGGUUGCGGAGGCAGGUCGGCCUUUUUGUAGCAAAACGUCACCGUGUCUAAAGGUGCGCGCUAGCAACACCAUUCUCCUGAAUUAUUACAACUACACGGUUCGUUUUGUCUUCUUUUCAGCGUAUCCCCCCAUAUUUGCUUCUUCAUCGCAAUGCGCCUUCUACACCCUCACGAAUAAGGUCCUCCCGAUCAUCUUCUCUGGCAGCAGAUUCUCAAAUCCGAACGCCCUGUCCCGCAAGCAAUGCAGGUUUGGAGCCAAACCUACCGAGAGUGGGCACCAGAAAAGAAAAGCAAGAAAGGGAAGAAAGAGUUACAGCAAGCCACAAUAGAGUUCCUCUGGAGAGGCCUGCCUCAGAUGAAUGAGGCAGAGGGCAACCCACCCAAUACCACCACCUCAUCUCACUGAAGAACGAAGAAGGCAAGACUGCGAGGAGUACAUGUAAAGUACCAUGGUCUAAGAGAGAGAGGCGAAAUGAAUGAGUAGUGCCGAGGGCAAGUGGGUCACGAGAGGAAUCACACUAAUACAUGAUCACGUACAAACGUGUAAUAGAGUUAAGAAUGUGCCGUAACCUCACUCCACAUCUAGCUUGAAGUGUCGCGGAUGGUGCCAUCCAAUUGGUACCUUUUGGGUGGCUCAAACUAUCGAUAGGUUUUCAAGGAGGAUGUUCAUGUGUGUUUGCGAAUAGAGGAUCACUGGUUCGAGCCCAGUGUGGGACAGGGACAGUGGAGGGAGAUAUAUACUGUUUUUGUAUUACCACUACACACCUGAUUCAAAUCAUUAACACUUGAUGAUAAGUUGAUCAUUUGAAUAUGUUGUGGAGGCAAAAACAACAAUGUGCACCCCUUUGGGUCCCCAGGACCAGCCUAAGAAGUGCUGUUCUAUCUAGACUAAUCACAUUCCCCACCUCACCUAUCCCUGGAGACCGUAUGUAGACAUGAUACAACUCUGUGAACACAUUGACCCUACUAUAAUGAAUGUUUGUUACGUGUGCCUAUUUGCUUUUUUUGCAGACGACAAGCAUGUAGGUUAGAUAUGAAAGCAUUGCUUGGUUUUUAAAAAAAGUGUUGCUACCGUUUGCAAACAAAGUAACUGUGACACUUGUGUUUUUAAGGUGAUUCCCUAGAGGACUCUAGUCCUCGGAAUGCAAUUAGUUUAAUCAGGUGUGUUAGCUGUGGAGGACUGGAGUACAACGAUGAGGAUGAUCAGAUCGAGAUGGAAUCAACAGAUUCAAUGCAAGAAGCAGCUUGAUCUGAUACAUGGCUCUACUGAUUCUAAUAACUAGCUGGUUGAUAAGCUACAGGAGGGUAACUUUCCAGGAGAUCUGAACCUCCACCUAGUCCCCCCACCCUUUUCUCUUGUAACCUCUCUCCCUCUACUGUAGCCGUGUUUGGUGAUUGGACUGAGAGAGAUGUAAACACAGACAGCUUGCAGCGACCACAUUACAUCAUAAUUUAAAAUAAAGUGAAUCAUCUUUGUUUCAUAUUGUUGUUUGUUUGUGCUAAGGUUAAUUUGAAAAGUACUGAUGAAUGUAUUACAAGUUGACUUGAGUGACAUAUGUUUUUUAUGUUUUGGUAUUGUAUUACUUUCUGUAACUGGUGUCAUCACCUGUUGCUUGCAUUUCAAUAGCUAAGUUGUUUUUGAAUUACACACAGGGGCAGCUCUAGCUUUUUGGAGGCCCUUUUUGGAGGCCCCAAUUUUUGUAACAAUGCAGAGGGCUCCGCUUAGCUCCACAUUGACAUGAUUGGUUGACGGUAGGUAGGGGCAGUACAUCCUGUAUAAACAAACUCACUCCCUUGACAAUUUGAAUUGUUGUUGAAUUUGCAGUGCACUUUGACGAAAGGCUAUCAGAACAAGUUCAUAAAAAACAUAUUUUCAUGUAGGGAUUUCAAAGACACGAAAAUGAGUUUGAACUCCUGGAAAGAGAUUGGGUAGGUAAUGGGGAUAAAUGCAGUAAAGAGGUCAAUGGAAUGCAGACCGUGGGGGGAUAGGACACUGGAUUGGCGCACAUUCAACAAAUCUGAUCUAACAAAGUGGAUAUUUGUCAAUUCCGUCAUGACUGAUGUAUUGUAACAGGCCCAAAAUGUGGUUAAUUUUAUAUAUUUGGCUGUUUUUGCUGCCUAACAUUAAGUUGUUAUCCCUUUUCAGGUUUAGGAAAAGUGACUGACAAAUGCUGACUCCCAUUCGUAUAAGCUGGUAGUGUAGCUAGCAUACAGAAAUCGGUGGUGGUAGUCAAAGUAGUUUUUUACUAUAAUGCAGUUGAUUGAUGAAGAUGACAUGAACAUGGUUUGUUGAGAUCGGAGUGGAAGAAUUUGACUGACCUGCACAGAGCCCUGACCUCAACC
Molecule: non-coding RNA, 2478 nt
Organism: Oncorhynchus mykiss (rainbow trout)
Lineage: Eukaryota; Metazoa; Chordata; Actinopteri; Salmoniformes; Salmonidae
Source: RefSeq, a predicted model, not a curated record